Molecule: non-coding RNA, 90 nt
Organism: Brochothrix thermosphacta
Lineage: Bacteria; Bacillati; Bacillota; Bacilli; Caryophanales; Listeriaceae
Source: Rfam
AAUAACGUAUCGCGAGAGAAUGCGCAAGCAUCGCCGAAGGGGCAAAUGAAUCCUCAUGAAACUCUCAGGCAAAAGGAUCGAUGCGUGUUA